CCCCAGGUCAGGCGGGGCUACCCGCUGAAUUUAAGCAUAUCAAUAAGCGGAGGAAAA
This 57-nucleotide ribosomal RNA is filed under the name Silene damboldtiana. RNAcentral describes it as "partial 26S ribosomal RNA". The record is from RNAcentral. Lineage: Eukaryota; Viridiplantae; Streptophyta; Magnoliopsida; Caryophyllales; Caryophyllaceae.